CGGGGAAAGCACGCAGAGCCAGUGACUGCUAAUGGCCUUGGCAUUUGCUGCCAGCGCAUGAGGUCAACUCUGAAGCUAAUUUAAGAGGCAAAGGUGGGAAGGGAAGCGGCCGGCAGGGCCGCACCCGACGCAUUCCUCGGAGCCGCCCGAGGUCGCCGCCCAGCUGCCAGGCUCCGAGCAGCACUGCUGAGUCCUCGGCGCGGGCCUCGCGGAACAGCUGCCUGUCCUGCCCGGAAGCCGGAUGCAGCUGCCACCGCUGCUGUGCCCUGGCCAGGGCAGGCUCUGGGUCAUCCUGCGGCCUUGAGUCAUCAGCUCCCGAAUCCAGGUCCGGAGAGGAUGCAUCUGCUGCGGCUCCAAGGUCCGAGCGCCCAGCAGCAGCAGGAGGGCCGAGAACAAGAGCUGCAAGUGCUUUUAUCACUCAGGGAAACAGAGGGCAGAUUCUACAGCCCUGAGAGCCCACAGACUGAGGGAUCGCAUUUACACACAGGGCAGCAGGUACAAAAACAGACAGAAAUGAGCCCUUGAUGCUGUAAGACAACACAAAGGUCACCAAUGUGUCCAUUUCCAUGUCAAGAAAGAGUUAAAAAACGUAUUAGAGUGUUAAUGGUCAACUCUGAACUGACCAUCAAGGCUGAUUUGAAUGUUUCCACUUCUUUCUGUAACUAUCCAAAUUUUUGCUGGUAUAGAAAAAGCCUUUUUAGAGCAGUCCUGGCCAAUAUCGGGUCUUUCGUUGAAAGAGAAGCGGAUGGCCAUGCUCAGAUGGCUGUCGCUAGCCUGGAGUCCAAGCUCUGCAAGGUGCUAAGCCCUUUACAAAGGCAGGAUCCCGGCACCUCAUCCUGAGAGCGAGGCUGCUGAUAAGCAUGUGCUAAAGCAGUAUAUCCUACCAAAGCAGAAUAGAAAGAGAGAGAAGAGAGUGCACAUGGAGCAGAGAAAGAAGUACAGAAUUCUCAGUUCUUUCACAGAGCCUUGUCAUCUCCUUUCAUCACCGUAGAACCUAAAAAGAAAUGGGGAGACACUUACAAGACAGACAGAAGACCUGGCCUCAUCGGGACUCUUGGUUGGCUCACAUAAUAUGCAAAUGAAGUUACUUGAUUCUUGGAUACCAAAUUUGCACUGGGAGCACUUAACCAUGCUGGAACAUUUGGCCGCCACAGCUCUUCCUGCUCCUCUGGGCUGGAUGGGGCCCCAUGCCAAGGACAAUUCACAGCCAUAAAACAAUUCCCCGAGCCUUGUGGCUAAGCCAAUGCUAUCCACGAACUGGGUUGCUCAUUAAUGAAGAACUCACCUUCUGCAUCCUGGCCCUAUGCUGAAAAUCCCUUUCACAAAGCCACACGGCCACCCCUGGUGAAUAAGGGAAGGGAAGUGACAUUUAAGUGACUGCUCGCAUCUUGUGCUUCCUCGUUCUCACGAAACCUCUGCAGGGCACGUAUUUCCCCACUUCACUGAUGAGAGAACCAGUCCUGAGAAAUGUGGAGCUGCUCUGGGUCAGCGGCCAGCAGACAAACAGCAGGCUGGCUUUCCCAGCAAGCACUUCUGCCCGCCGCACGCCCAGCCCCAGGUCCAGCCCGGACUCACCACUAGGCAGCAGCGAUGCACAGGGCCUUGGCUGCAUCUGGCUGUGCUCACAACUCAAGCUCAUUCCACCUCGUUCUGUUCUUUUUCCAUCAAAGAGAAACCAGAGGACUCUAAAGCAUGAUAUCCACAGUGAAAUUACAUUGUAAAAUCUGGGCAUGGUGGCACACACUUGUAAUCUCAGCACUCAGAAGACUCAGGCAGGAGGAAUGCCACAAGUUCAAGACCAGCCUAGGUUACAAAGUAGCUUGAGGCCAGUCUAAAUUGCUUAAUGAGAGCUGGUCUCAAAAAAAUAAAAAAAUUUUAAAAAUUGUAAAAUCCAGCGUCCUUCAGGUAUGAAGAGCCUUGACCUCACUAGGAUACCCCUGAGCAUUUUGUGCAAAUAUUCUGGCUAUGCCAGGGCCCGGAAUCAUCUCUAGCUAUGAUGCACUAACUCCAGGGUGAAUGUUUAAGAAGUGCAAUUGGAUUAUGACAGGGAAACAUUUCCUUCACAGCCAGCCAGCCAGAUGGAAGCCCAGCUCCGCUGUGUUGAGAUGCUCAGGGCAGGGUGCUGAGGCAGAAGUGGCGAUAAACCAGCGAGAGAGACUGCAGGCCAGGGAGGUGCCCUGAAGCCUCCAUUGACAAAGCAUAAUUUCAAAUUGCCUAAUGUCAUUGACUGAAGGAGGCUGCCAGAAGAAUGAGCCAUUGUGACACACAGCAGAGCUCCCUGUAGCCUCUGGUUCAGUCAUCAGUGGCUUUCACAUGUGACAGGACCAUGCACAGUUAGGUCACAUCCAGUGUGCAGAGCCAUUCACCUGUGUCCUACACUGAGAAGAAGCAUUGCUGAGCCUCUAUCAUGUUAAAACGUCACAGGGCAGCCUCGGGCCAGCAAAAAUGACAGUAUCAUGUUUUUACCUUACACUCCAUACAAAUGCAGACCGCCUAUGGCCUGUGCCAGGCCACAUAUUCAUGUUACUCUGUGUGGGACAAGAUCAGCAGCUUCCUCCAUGUGACAAGGCCAGCGUCACAUGCACCAAGAGUCCUUUCAUCUGCUGGAGCCGCCUCCUAUGGGUACCAAUGAAAAAACUCAAUGGGGCGUUAAAGGGCCCUAAGGAUAAAUGUUAAAAUACAAGUGUGUAAAAAUGGAAAGGUUUUCUUCACCAAAAACCAAAGGACCCUGACAUUAUUUUAAAAUGUGAAGGAGGAGAAGGUACCAUGUGUGUCCUGAGUGAUUUUCUAAGUUCCAAGGCCACACCGACAGCCAGAGUUGUGCAAGACAGAACUGCAAUGAGAUCACUUUCCUACUUGUACUAUUUUUAAAACUUACAAUAUUCAGUGUGGAAAGGCUACAUUGAUAUGGGCUUUCUCAUGCUCAGCAAGUAAAAAUGUAAAUUUUGGUGCGCUCUCCAGAAAGUAAUUCACCAGUGUAUUUCUAAAGUCUUCAAAAUGCUCAUCUUGCCUCUGAAAGUACAAUAGUAUCAGGCAUUUUUCUUCGGCUGAGGUCGAGUUGGUUUAACAAUAUACCCAGAUAAUUCUAAUAGAGUCUCACCCACACUGUGGCUUCAUGACCAUCCCCUAGAGAUCCAUGUUUACCCCAAGUUCUUAUACUGAAGCCCAGUUGCCAGUGCCACGGCCCUUGAGGUGAGGCCUUCAGGAGGUGACCAGGUCCUGAGGACACAGCACUCACAGUACGAAUUCUUCCUAAGUGGGACCAGAGAGCCUCCCUGCCUUUCACCGUGUGUGGUUGCAGGGAGAGCCUCACUCCACCUGUAACCAGGAAAUGGGCCCCAGCAGAUAGUGAGUCCUCGAGUUGAGGCCUUGCUCUUGGGUCUUCAGCCUCCAAAUCUGUGAGACAUAAAUUUCCACUGACUACAUCCUCCAGCGUUGCAGCACCCCACUGGCACAGCAUCGUUAACGGGUGAAGACAGCUCCUUCAGGAAGAGAAUUCUUAACGUCUGUACCCCAGGGUGCACUGGAGGACAGAGAACGGUGAUGGGAAAGAGAAGAGAGCUUUAAGAGAAUGAGCUGAGCCCUCAGUAUCUCUCAGAGGCAACCUGUGAUGCUGAAUUUUCUACUGUAGAUUGUACUUUUCUCCUUAGAUCACACAAUGCAAAAUACAAAAUACACUUAACUCCAUCGUGUUGGGAAUGACACUAAUGGAUUGGUGGCCUCCUCAAGUCAACUGUGGUUGAACCACAUUAAAGAAAUCAUUUAGCCACAGCAACGAUACUCUGAGUCUGAACUGAGAACCCAGCCCACUAAUCAACCUCCAGACCUGAGUCAUAGAGUCCACUUUACUCACUGCUCGCUGGAUAUCAUUUCCUCUUGGACAUCAAACCCAACAGGCCUCAAAUGGAGCUCAUUAUCUUCCCCCACAAACUGUUUUCCUUCAUAAUUUCCCUGCAUGAACCAGUGCUAUAGUCACAACUAAAGCCAUCAGGCUCACAACCUAGGGCUGUCUUUCUCUUUGCUCUUUCUUGCAGUAUCUGGAAGUGGGAAGCAUCUAGAACCUACUCCUUGUCCUACUCACUAAAGUGCUGAGGCACUGACAUCAGAGCAUUGUCCAGGAGUAGCCCAACGUCCCUGGUGUCAGAAGGGGCUAUGCCUUCCAGCCACGCCUCAGACCUACUGAAUCAAGGUUUCAUUGAGGAGUCAGCCUUUUAAAUUAGUCCCUCACUGGAUCUAAAGCCCACUAAAAGAAUCAGUACUCUAAGAGGAAUUAUCUACCUACAGAGAGAUGCACCAUGCAGGAGGAGAGGAGGACACUGCGGAUGAGCAGGGUUCAGAGGGAAAAUCAGAGCACAGAGCAUGCAAAGUUUCAGUACUAAGGAAGCUGCCAUACAGAUACCUCCAUGAGCAGCCCUUGCCAGCACUGUUCAGGAGAGACUCUGUUUCCUCAAAGGACAGGACCAACCAGAACAAGCUUUGCCAGAGAUGAGUUCUGAGAAUCAAAGGACACAGUGGGGAAUAGCAGUAAUGCACACAACGUGGUGGCAUUCCUCAUACUUGGAUCCCAGAAUUUCUGUUUGCCUUUUGUCUUUGUAAUACUGGGAGUUGAACCUAGUGCCUCUGGAGUGCUGGAUAAGCACCAUACCACUAAACUACAUUCUCAGUCCUCAGGGUCCCUGAUUUAGUGAUAUGUCAACUUACUGCAGUUUGACUUAGGACUUUCAAUACCAACAUGGCACGACAGCAUCAGCACUUAAUAAAAAUCAUACUUUAAA
Cavia porcellus (domestic guinea pig) is the source of this 4775-nucleotide long non-coding RNA. RefSeq lists it as uncharacterized. The transcript has 4 exons. The record is from RefSeq and is a predicted model, not a curated record. NCBI's taxonomy places the organism in Eukaryota, Metazoa, Chordata, Mammalia, Rodentia, Caviidae.